GGGGAGACUGGAAUUCCUGGUGUAGCGGUGAAAUGCGCAGAUAUCAGGAGGAACACCAAUGGCGAAGGCAGGUCUCUGGGCUGUUAUUGACGCUGAGAAGCGAAAGCAUGUGGAGCGAACAGGUUUAGAUACCCUGGUAGUCCAUGCUGUAAACGUUGGGCAAUAGGUGUGGGGAACAUUCCACGUUUUCCGCGCCGUAGCUAACGCAUAAGUGCCCCGCAUGGGGAGUACGGCUGCAAGGCUAAAAAUCAAAGAAAUUGACGGGGGCCCGCACAUGCGGCGGAGCAUGCGGAUUAUUUCGAUGCAACGGGAAGAACCUUACCAAGGCUUGACAUAUACUAGACCGCCUCAGAGAUGGGGUUUCCCUUCGGGGCUGGUAUACAGGUGGUGCAUGGUUGUCGUCAGCUCGUGUCGUGAGAUGUUGGGUUAAGUCCUGCAACGAGCGCAACCCUCGUUUUAUGUUGCCAGCACGUAAUGGUGGGGACUCAUAGGAGACUGCCGGGGUUAACUCGGAGGAAGGUGGGGAUGACGUCAAAUCAUCAUGCCCCUUAUGUCUUGGGCUUCACGCAUGCUACAAUGGCCGGUACAAAGGGUUGCGAUACUGUGAGGUUGAGCUAAUCCCAAAAAGCCGGUCUCAGUUCGGAUUGGGGUCUGCAACUCGACCCCAUGAAGUCGGAGUCGCUAGUAAUCGCAGAUCAGCAACGCUGCGGUGAAUACGUUGGCCGGGCCUUGUAGCACCGCC
This 742-nucleotide ribosomal RNA is filed under the name Rothia sp. M1-11. RNAcentral's name for it is "bacterial SSU rRNA". It matches the Rfam family "Bacterial small subunit ribosomal RNA", at positions 654 to 1394 of the family's 1533-position model. Lineage: Bacteria; Bacillati; Actinomycetota; Actinomycetes; Micrococcales; Micrococcaceae. The record is from RNAcentral.